This 251-nucleotide ribosomal RNA is filed under the name uncultured prokaryote. RNAcentral describes it as "partial 16S ribosomal RNA". It matches the Rfam family "Bacterial small subunit ribosomal RNA", at positions 525 to 775 of the family's 1533-position model. The record is from RNAcentral.
ACGGAGGGUGCGAGCGUUAAUCGGAAUUACUGGGCGUAAAGAGUGCGCAGGCGGGUCGGUAAGACAGGAGUGAAAUCCCCGGGCUUGACCUGGGAAUGGCGCUUGUGACUGGCGGGCUGGAGUACGGCAGAGGGGGGUGGAAUUUCACGUGUAGAAGUGAAAUGCGUAGAGAUGUGGAGGAACACCGAUGGCGAAGGCAGCCCCCUGGGCCGAUACUGACGCUCAUGCACGAAAGCGUGGGGAGCAAACAG